This 258-nucleotide unclassified non-coding RNA is filed under the name rhizosphere metagenome. Its description in RNAcentral is "partial ribosomal RNA internal transcribed spacer region". The record is from RNAcentral.
GUAGGUGAACCUGCGGAAGGAUCAUUAUCACGUAUCCACGUAUAAACCAAACGCGAACUGUCUUCUCUUCAGUGGGUGUGUGUGGGCGCUAGUCGUUCCAGACUUCGGUCUCACCUCAUUGGAGUUUUUCAAUAACCAAUGAAACCCUUCAUUAAUUUAUUUCUAUUUGAACUGAACUGUUUCUUACUCUCUUCGCGGGGAGAAGAAAUGAUAUACGAAACAAAAAAACAACUCUUAGCAACGGAUAUCUUGGUUCUC